CGUAGGGUGCGAGCGUUAAUCGGAAUUACUGGGCGUAAAGCGUGCGCAGGCGGUUUAGUAAGACAGGCGUGAAAUCCCCGGGCUCAACCUGGGAACUGCGCUUGUGACUGCUAAGCUAGAGUACGGCAGAGGGGGUGGAAUUCCACGUGUAGCAGUGAAAUGCGUAGAGAUGUGGAGGAACACCAAUGGCGAAGGCAGCCCCCUGGGUCGAUACUGACGCUCAUGCACGAAAGCGUGGGUAGCAAACAGGGUUAGAUACCCUGGUAGUCCACGCCCUAAACGAUGUCAACUAGGUGUUGGGAGGGUAAAACCCUUUAGUACCGGAGCUAACGCGUGAAGUUGACCGCCUGGGGAGUACGGCCGCAAGGUUA
This 371-nucleotide ribosomal RNA is filed under the name uncultured organism. RNAcentral describes it as "bacterial SSU rRNA". It matches the Rfam family "Bacterial small subunit ribosomal RNA", at positions 526 to 896 of the family's 1533-position model. The record is from RNAcentral.